Molecule: non-coding RNA, 45 nt
Organism: Schistosoma curassoni
Lineage: Eukaryota; Metazoa; Platyhelminthes; Trematoda; Strigeidida; Schistosomatidae
Source: Rfam
AUCCAACUGACGAGUCCCAAACUGGAUGAAACGCGCUUCAUGGAU